This 407-nucleotide ribosomal RNA is filed under the name uncultured prokaryote. Its description in RNAcentral is "bacterial SSU rRNA". It matches the Rfam family "Bacterial small subunit ribosomal RNA", at positions 355 to 774 of the family's 1533-position model. The record is from RNAcentral.
UGAGGAAUAUUGGUCAAUGGGCGCAAGCCUGAUGCAGCGACGCCGCGUGAGGGAUGACGGCCUUCGGGUUGUAAACCUCUUUCGCCAGGGACGAAGCGCAAGUGACGGUACCUGGAGAAGAAGGACCGGCCAACUACGUGCCAGCAGCCGCGGUAAUACGUAGGGUCCGAGCGUUGUCCGGAAUUACUGGGCGUAAAGAGCUCGUAGGUGGUUUGUCGCGUUGUUCGUGAAACCUCACAGCUUAACUGUGGGCGUGCGGGCGAUACGGGCAGACUGGAGUACUGCAGGGGAGACUGGAAUUCCUGGUGUAGCGGUGGAAUGCGCAGAUAUCAGGAGGAACACCGGUGGCGAAGGCGGGUCUCUGGGCAGUAACUGACGCUGAGGAGCGAAAGCGUGGGGAGCAAACA